RNAcentral lists this unclassified non-coding RNA (298 nucleotides) under Hevea brasiliensis (rubber tree). The record is from RNAcentral. Lineage: Eukaryota; Viridiplantae; Streptophyta; Magnoliopsida; Malpighiales; Euphorbiaceae.
GAGUUUCACAGAGGAAUCUUUGCGUGAGAAUGUUGGAGCAUUUAUGAAUGCACUUUUGCAAGCAAAGCCUGCAGGCCUUAAGAAGACUUCCAAAUAUGCUGGGUAUGUGAACAGCUUCCAUAUAUGCAGCACGAUGGGACCAGGGUUCCCUGUUUCAAUACAGUCAUUAUCCAAGGCCGUGGAUCACUACAACAAAGCGCUCCUUAAGUAAUGUGAUUGCAGCAAAAUUCCGGCNNNUUCUGUCUCUCUGUCUUUCCUCCCCAUUAUCGGGUGUUGACACUAGUAAAAAACAGUUGGG